This 461-nucleotide ribosomal RNA is filed under the name uncultured bacterium. RNAcentral's name for it is "partial 16S ribosomal RNA". It matches the Rfam family "Bacterial small subunit ribosomal RNA", at positions 338 to 795 of the family's 1533-position model. The record is from RNAcentral.
CCUACGGGAGGCAGCAGUGAGGAAUAUUGGUCAAUGGGCGGAAGCCUGAACCAGCCAAGUCGCGUGAGGGAUUAAGGCCCUGCGGGUCGUAAACCUCUUUUGCCGGGGAGCAGAGGUCCGGACGUGUCCGGGCCGGGAGAGUACCCGGAGAAAAAGCAUCGGCUAACUCCGUGCCAGCAGCCGCGGUAAUACGGAGGAUGCGAGCGUUAUCCGGAUUUAUUGGGUUUAAAGGGAGCGUAGGCCGGCUUUUAAGUCAGCUGUGAAAGUCCGCGGCUCAACCGUGGAAUUGCAGUUGAAACUGGAGGCCUGGAGUGCACACAGGGAUGCCGGAAUUCAUGGUGUAGCGGUGAAAUGCUUAGAUAUCAUGAAGAACUCCGAUCGCGAAGGCAAGUGUCCGGGGUGCAACUGACGCUGAGGCUCGAAAGUGCGGGUAUCAAACAGGAUUAGAUACCCUGGUAGUC